This 515-nucleotide ribosomal RNA is filed under the name uncultured bacterium. RNAcentral's name for it is "bacterial SSU rRNA". It matches the Rfam family "Bacterial small subunit ribosomal RNA", at positions 791 to 1310 of the family's 1533-position model. The record is from RNAcentral.
UAGUCCACGCUGUAAACGAUGGUUACUAGCUGUUUGGGAGCAAUCCUGAGUGGCUAAGCGAAAGUGAUAAGUAACCCACCUGGGGAGUACGAUCGCAAGAUUGAAACUCAAAGGAAUUGACGGGGGCCCGCACAAGCGGUGGAGCAUGUGGUUUAAUUCGAUGAUACGCGAGGAACCUUACCAGGGCUUAAAUGUGGAUUGACAGGUUUAGAGAUAGACUUUUCUUCGGACAAUUCACAAGGUGCUGCAUGGUUGUCGUCAGCUCGUGCCGUGAGGUGUCAGGUUAAGUCCUAUAACGAGCGCAACCCCUGUUGUUAGUUACCAGCACGUAGUGGUGGGGACUCUAACAAGACUGCCGGUGCAAACCGUGAGGAAGGUGGGGAUGACGUCAAAUCAUCACGGCCCUUACGUCCUGGGCUACACACGUGCUACAAUGGCCGUGACAAAGAGUUGCUACUUUGUGAAAACAAGCUAAAUCUCAUAAACGCGGCCUCAGUUCGGAUUGCAGGCUGAAA